GUGGGCGCGAGCACGUGGCGUGCUGUCACGUAUAUUUAUGAAAUAAAUUUUGUGUGUUUAUAUGUUUAUAAAAUUCAUACAUAGACCCACGAGAAAAGCCACAUCCCGCAUUUAGCUGCUCAAAAGACGUCACGAGCAGUGAUCUGAGUCUGCGAGUUAACGUCGCCUCCAGCACCUCCAAAAGUGAAUCUUUCCCGAUCCGUGUUCCGGACCCCAGGAUUAAAGCCCGGAAUGCUUCCCUCUCCAACAGUCCUGCCAUGUUCUGUAGGAAAUAACCCUCACAUAACUCCAAGACGUCCAUCUUGAAAGACUCAGUCCCCCCGCAGUA
Molecule: long non-coding RNA, 328 nt
Organism: Triplophysa dalaica
Lineage: Eukaryota; Metazoa; Chordata; Actinopteri; Cypriniformes; Nemacheilidae
Exons: 3
Source: RefSeq, a predicted model, not a curated record